RNAcentral lists this long non-coding RNA (508 nucleotides) under Rattus norvegicus (Norway rat). RNAcentral's name for it is "long non-coding RNA NONRATT017603". Lineage: Eukaryota; Metazoa; Chordata; Mammalia; Rodentia; Muridae. The record is from RNAcentral.
CCUCCCACCAUCCAUGUCUGGGCUGGUUUGCUGAAGUUGCUGAUUGGAUGUCUGUAGUCUACAGAUGGUGGGCACCACCCGAGAAGUCAGGGAGCCUGGGAGGCCUAGGCACACAGGAUGUCAAGAGUAACUGCUAUGAACCUUUCCCCAAAUCUCUGGGGCCUCUCCCUGGGUCAUGCCCUCUGACCCUCUAUCCCCAUAUCUAGAUCUUCAUUAAGAACCUGGUCUGCUUGGGCCCCAGAUCCCACACUUUGCUCAGCAAGCUCGCCUUCUAGGGAGUCAGAGGCUGGGACAGUUACCCCCCUCCUCCCAGGCUCGCCCAAGGCCCAGCAGGAUGUUGUGUUGGUUUCCCGGGCUUUCUCUGUCUCAUAGCCUCUCCCACCCCUCUUAAAAGAAUUUCUGGUCCUAAGAACAUUCGUUAGUAAUUACAAGUCCUGUGUGUACACAUCCUGAGUUUUUAGUAUUUAGUGUAUUUUAAGAAGCGAAAUAAAUAUCUUAUUGAGCACAA